GAUGGCGAUGCGUCCGAUUAGCUAGUUGGCGGGGUAACGGCCCACCAAGGCGACGAUCGGUAGGGGUUCUGAGAGGAAGGUCCCCCACAUUGGAACUGAGACACGGUCCAAACUCCUACGGGAGGCAGCAGUGAGGAAUAUUGGUCAAUGGGCGAAAGCCUGAACCAGCCAAGUAGCGUGCAGGAUGACGGCCCUACGGGUUGUAAACUGCUUUUAGGCGGGGGUAAAGGGGCGGACGAGUUCCGCCUUUGCAAGUACCGCCAGAAAAAGGACCGGCUAAUUCCGUGCCAGCAGCCGCGGUAAUACGGAAGGUCCGGGCGUUAUCCGGAUUUAUUGGGUUUAAAGGGAGCGUAGGCGGGCUAUUAAGUCAGCUGUGAAAUCCGGCGGCUCAACCGUCGGCCUGCAGUUGAUACUGGUGGUCUUGAGUGCGCGCAGGGGCGUUGGAAUUCAUGGUGUAGCGGUGAAAUGCUCAGAUAUCAUGAAGAACUCCGAUCGCGAAGGCAGAUGCCCGGAGCGCAACUGACGCUGAGGCUCGAAAGUGCGGGUAUCAAACAGGAUUAGAUACCCUGGUAGUCCGCACAGUAAACGAUGGAU
Molecule: ribosomal RNA, 594 nt
Filed under: uncultured bacterium
Lineage: Bacteria
Description: bacterial SSU rRNA
Rfam family: Bacterial small subunit ribosomal RNA
Source: RNAcentral